Molecule: ribosomal RNA, 511 nt
Filed under: uncultured Glomus
Lineage: Eukaryota; Fungi; Glomeromycota; Glomeromycetes; Glomerales; Glomeraceae
Description: SSU rRNA
Rfam family: Eukaryotic small subunit ribosomal RNA
Source: RNAcentral
AGCAGCCGCGGUAAUUCCAGCUCCAAUAGCGUAUAUUAAAGUUGUUGCAGUUAAAAAGCUCGUAGUUGAAUUUCGGGAUCAAAGGAUCGGUCAUGCCUUGGUAUGUACUGGUUUUAUUGGUUCUCACCUUCUAAAGAACCAUAAUGUCAUUCAUUUGAUGUUAUGGGGAAUUAGGACUGUUACCUUGAAAAAAUUAGAGUGUUUAAAGCAGGCUCGCGCUUGAAUACAUUAGCAUGGAAUAAUGAAAUAGGACGUUUGAUUCUAUUUUGUUGGUUUCUAGGAUUGACGUAAUGAUUAAUAGGGAUAGUUGGGGGCAUUAGUAUUCAAUUGUCAGAGGUGAAAUUCUUGGAUUUAUUGAAGACUAACUACUGCGAAAGCAUUUGCCAAGGAUGUUUUCAUUAAUCAAGAACGAAAGUUAGGGGAUCGAAGACGAUCAGAUACCGUCGUAGUCUUAACCAUAAACUAUAGCCGACUAGGGAUCGGAUGAUGUAAUUUUUUAAUGACUCAUUCG